CAGCCGCCGCGGGAAUACGUAGGUGGCAAGCGUUGUCCGGAAUUAUUGGGCGUAAAGGGCUCGCAGGCGGUUUCUUAAGUCUGAUGUGAAAGCCCCCGGCUCAACCGGGGAGGGUCAUUGGAAACUGGGAAACUUGAGUGCAGAAGAGGAGAGUGGAAUUCCACGUGUAGCGGUGAAAUGCGUAGAGAUAUGGAGGAACACCAGUGGCGAAGGCGACUCUCUGGUCUGUAACUGACGCUGAGGAGCGAAAGCGUGGGGAGCGAACAGGAUUAGAUACCCGAGUAGUCCCUGUCUCUUAUAA
RNAcentral lists this ribosomal RNA (301 nucleotides) under uncultured bacterium. Its description in RNAcentral is "partial 16S ribosomal RNA". It matches the Rfam family "Bacterial small subunit ribosomal RNA", at positions 509 to 809 of the family's 1533-position model. The record is from RNAcentral.